AUGUACCACCCGUACACUGCGGUUCUGAGCGCGCCGUCCGCGCCCGCCUUACGGCUGCUGCCUACGUUUUGUUAGCC
This 77-nucleotide small RNA is filed under the name Xanthomonas campestris pv. mirabilis. RNAcentral's name for it is "sX9 sRNA". It matches the Rfam family "Xanthomonas sRNA sX9". The record is from RNAcentral. Lineage: Bacteria; Pseudomonadati; Pseudomonadota; Gammaproteobacteria; Lysobacterales; Lysobacteraceae.